UGGGCCAGACGCAGAAUGUAGCAAAAACAGGUGGUUGUUCAAAUAUUUGUGUAAAACUAGGCUGAAGGACGUGCGCACACUUCUGUAGUCAUGGCCAAAAUCUAUAGAAUCGGUCACAACUGUGUCUAAUCACAAUCCGCUUACAUGAUCGUGACACUGAGAUUAAAAUCAACACCAGCUGCCGAGUUGUGGGUGGUGGCAAACACAUUCCUACAAACCGACAUCCUGAGUGUGGCAUUAUGGGAUUCACAUUCCUCACAUGGGCUAGGAUGCCCAUGAUGCCGCCCCCCACCACGAUGCCGCCCCGGGCAACCGCCCGUGUCGCCCUUAUCAAAAACCGCUACUGGGUGUGAAUGGUCGUCCCUCAGUGUUAGCCCUGUAGCAGGCUGGUGAUCUGAUAAGGAUAAGUGGAAGAGGAUGGAUGUUGGUUUGUUUUUUUUGAGCUGGCUGUGAACAUCCUUUUAGGUUGAAUUUUAACAUGUGGGGUUUUAUAACGAAAUUUUGCAAUUCACUUUUGAAAUCAGCCUCAAGUGGCCACGCUGGGAACUGCAGUUUUUGGCCUUUGCAUGUUGGCUUCAUUUUUCAGCCCUGCAGGUCGCUUCUUGGGUUACAGAAGACUGUUUCACUGGUUUGCAGAAACAUUUGAGACACUGUCUCUUAACCUGUUUUCUCUCCUUGGCUUUCCAGUCUUCUCUUCACUAUCAAUAAACAAUAAAAGCCCUCCCAAAAUACACUAAAAAAUUUACUGUUUUUCUGUUCUGAUUUUAUAUGUAGCAGCUAGUAGAUUUCAAAUUAUCUGGAAAACUGACACAUGCUGAUAAAUCAGCUAAUACUAAAACUCCCAUAAUUUUUCAAGGGAGCAGAUUCUGAUUGUGCUGUAUCACAGACUUCUUCUGCUCCCUUUAUUGUUCAUCACAGCAAAUCAAAUGCCUUUAUCUCAUCCUGGCCUUACCAUCCUCCUCUGUCACACCAACCCUCUGCAUGUCCUCCUUUGUUAUAUC
Molecule: long non-coding RNA, 1001 nt
Organism: Astatotilapia calliptera (eastern happy)
Lineage: Eukaryota; Metazoa; Chordata; Actinopteri; Cichliformes; Cichlidae
Source: Ensembl